UGGGACAUAGCUCAGUUGGUAAGAGUGUUUGUCUGGAAUGCAAAAGCCCUAAACUCCAUUCCCUGUCUCAU
RNAcentral lists this transfer RNA (71 nucleotides) under Cricetulus griseus (Chinese hamster). It matches the Rfam family "tRNA". From Rfam's summary of the family: Transfer RNA (tRNA) molecules are approximately 80 nucleotides in length. Their secondary structure includes four short double-helical elements and three loops (D, anti-codon, and T loops). The record is from Rfam by way of RNAcentral. Lineage: Eukaryota; Metazoa; Chordata; Mammalia; Rodentia; Cricetidae.